This 497-nucleotide ribosomal RNA is filed under the name uncultured bacterium. RNAcentral describes it as "partial 16S ribosomal RNA". It matches the Rfam family "Bacterial small subunit ribosomal RNA", at positions 28 to 507 of the family's 1533-position model. The record is from RNAcentral.
GAUGAACGCUGGCGGCGUGCCUAACACAUGCAAGUCGAGCGAACAGACGAGGAGCUUGUUCCUUUGACGUUAGCGGCGGACGGGUGAGUAACACGUGGAUAACCUACUUAUAUGUCUGGGAUAACCUCGGGAAACCGGAGCUAAUACCGGAUAAUAUAUUGAACCGCAUGGUUCAAUGGUGAAUGACGGCUUUGCUGUCUCUUAUAGCGGGAUCCGCGCUGCUUUAGCUGGUUGGUAAGGUACCGGCUUACCAAGGCGACGAUGCGUAGCCGAACUGAGAGGGUGGUCGGCCACACUGGAACUGAGACACGGUCCAGACUCCUACGGGAGGCAGCAGUAGGGAAUCGUACGCAAUGGGCGAGAGCCUGACAGAGCAGCGCCGCGUGUGUGAUGAAGGUCUUCGGAUCGUAAAGCUCUGUUAUUGGGGAAGAACAAAUGUGUAAUUAGCUGUGCACGUCUUGACGGUACCUAGUCAAAAAGCCACGGCUAACUACGUG